AUGGAGUCGCCGCCACACAAGCUCAACGUCGGCCGAGAUGAGGACCGAAUCAGCGCGCUCACCGACGACCUCCUCCUCGGAAUCCUCGAGCGCCUCGACCUGCGCGACGCGGUCCGCGCCGGCGCAGUCUCCACGCGGUGGCGGCACCUCCCCCAUCGGCUCUCGCGCGUGCGCCUCGACGUCCGCCAGUUCCGCCGCGCCACGCUGGUGGAGACCAUGGACGCGUUCACGGGCGCUUUGCUCUCCGUGUUUCCUCCGGCCGAGGGCAACUGUGAAUGCCAGCGCGGCUAUGCCAUCAAGGCCCUCCGCCUCUCCUUCUAUCCUUUGAUCCAUCACCUGUGCUACAUCGGCCCUGCCGUCCAGGACGUGGUCAGCCGUGGCAAGACCGAAUGUCUCGAAUUUUGGAUAUCCCUGCCGAGUGCGGAAUACACUACCCGGCAGCUCGCUGACUUCGGCCGGCAAUUCAUGAUCUUCUCCGGUGCUUACAAGGUCGCUUUCCGGUGGCUCACAAGGCUAUUCCUCAAGGGCCUUGCGUUCUUGGGCGCUGACAUCACUGACCUAAUUAGCGCUUGCGAUAAGCUCAAGUGCCUCACCCUGAGAUCCUGCAGACUAGUUGAUCGGCACUCUGUGCUCAAGAUUGACACACCGUGUUCUGGGCUCCAGGAGCUUCAGUUCAUCCACUUUGUGUGCAUGCGGAUCGAGCUCAUCUCUGUCCCCAAGCUCAGUAAAGUGCACUGCCAUUUGUACUCCGAGAACCCUCUGGUUCGCUUUGGCUAUGUUCCAGAGCUUCGCGAAGUCAGUCUCACUUGUCAUGCCAAGGCGUGGCAGGCACCAUUCAUGCUGAGCGAGUGCUUGUCAAGGAGUGCAACGAACCUGUCGAAUGUGCAUCUCAAUUUUUGCCACGAAAUGAUUUGGAUUCAACCGGAACAUCCGAAGCAGCUUACUGCUAUAUUUAGAAAUCUGGCUGCCAUGUUUCUUUCUGCUGCACCUGCCCUGCAGAAGUUUACAAGGUGCUGGUUGCUUGCUGCUGUCCUGGAGAGGAGGGAAGAAGCUGCAGGAGAGGGAGGGGGAGGAGGAACUGCAGGAGAGUCAGGGGAGGAGGAUCUGCCGGAGAGGAGGGGGAGAAAAGCUCAGAUCCAGCCGCGAGAGGAGGGGGUUGGGGAAAACUUGGCUAGAGCUCUCUCUCCCCCUGCUAGUAACUGUUGGCGCCCAGACUCUGUUUCCCACCCCUUUCUUCCCGCACAGAGCUCUGUUUCCCGCCUGAACUCCCAGCCCUGUCCGAGGCAUCUUCAUUUGCCUAAGGCGAGAAUGGUGCCUAGGCGGACGCCUUACGCAUGCACAAUGGCUGAUAUAUUUAGGCCCUGUUCGGCAACCCGCCGGCUCCUUAAAAUACGUGGAGCUGCGGAGUGGAGGAACUACAGCUCCAUCCUUUUUAACUACAGCUCCGUCAGCUCCCGGAGCGGAGCGGCAGACUGGAGGGACUCCGAACAGGGCGUUAGUUUCAAUUGCUGUUACAUUGUCCUGCAUGGGUUGUUAUCUCGAACACGACUAUGUGCCAAAACGCCCGAGGACAAUGCCGAGAAGACCAACGUUGUGUGGGGACCAUCCAAGGAUUUCAAGCACUUCAACUUGAAGACACUCACAAUUCAAGGGUUCGAGGAGGAAGAAAAGGUGACAAACUAUAUAAGCCUAGUCAUGGAACGAGCUGUGGGGUUAAAGAGAAUCGUGCUGCUCGGUGAAUUCCCAUGCAAGGACUGCAACGACUGUGAAAGAAAAUGCCAGGUGGAUGAAGCUAGCAGGCGUCGGGUUAAGGAACAACUUGCCCAUGGAUCCUCCUCUUCCGUGGAGUUAAUUAUCUGCUGA
This 1863-nucleotide ribosomal RNA is filed under the name Triticum aestivum (bread wheat). RNAcentral's name for it is "partial small subunit ribosomal RNA". The record is from RNAcentral. Lineage: Eukaryota; Viridiplantae; Streptophyta; Magnoliopsida; Poales; Poaceae.